GAUGAAGAACGCAGCGAAAUGCGAUAAGUAAUGUGAAUUGCAGAAUUCAGUGAAUCAUCGAAUCUUUGAACGCACAUUGCGCCCUUUGGUAUUCCGAAGGGCAUGCCUGUUCGAGCAUCAUUUCACCACUCAAGCCUGGCUUGGUAUUGGGCGCCGCGGUCGAUCCGCGCGCCUCAAAGUCUCCGGCUGAGCUGUCCGUCUCUAAGCGUUGUGAUUUCAUUAAUCGCUUCGGAGUGCGGGCGGCCGCGGCCGUUAAAUCUUUCACAAGGUUGACCUCGGAUCAGGUAGGGAUACCCGCUGAACUUAAGCAUAUCAAUAAGCGGAGGA
RNAcentral lists this unclassified non-coding RNA (327 nucleotides) under soil metagenome. RNAcentral describes it as "partial contains 5.8S ribosomal RNA, internal transcribed spacer 2, and large subunit ribosomal RNA". The stretch from base 1 to 120 matches the Rfam family "5.8S ribosomal RNA", at positions 35 to 154 of the family's 154-position model. The record is from RNAcentral.